CACAAUGUCGGAUGCAAGCUCACUGCUGAGCUGCAGAUCUGUCCCAUCACUUCUGCUUCCUGCUGCACAAAGGCAAAGGAUGCACUUUGUGGAUGCAGAGGGGAGUCGGGCUGCUGAGCUGCCAAGUGUGAAGCCUGCCUGGUGAUAACAGCACGCUGCCUCACCUCUCGUGCCCACCCAUGGAGGAAGCGAGUGCACGGCAGAGCAGGC
Molecule: long non-coding RNA, 210 nt
Filed under: Gallus gallus (chicken)
Lineage: Eukaryota; Metazoa; Chordata; Aves; Galliformes; Phasianidae
Source: RNAcentral